ACUGGCUCAGGACGAACGCUGGCGGCGUGCUUAACACAUGCAAGUCGAACGGUAAGGCCCUUCGGGGUACACGAGUGGCGAACGGGUGAGUAACACGUGGGUGAUCUGCCCUGCACUUUGGGAUAAGCCUGGGAAACUGGGUCUAAUACCGAAUACACCCUGCUGGUCGCAUGGCCUGGUGGGGGAAAGCUUUUGCGGUGUGGGAUGGGCCCGCGGCCUAUCAGCUUGUUGGUGGGGUGAUGGCCUACCAAGGCGACGACGGGUAGCCGGCCUGAGAGGGUGUCCGGCCACACUGGGACUGAGAUACGGCCCAGACUCCUACGGGAGGCAGCAGUGGGGAAUAUUGCACAAUGGGCGCAAGCCUGAUGCAGCGACGCCGCGUGAGGGAUGACGGCCUUCGGGUUGUAAACCUCUUUCAAUAGGGACGAAGCGCAAGUGACGGUACCUAUAGAAGAAGCACCGGCCAACUACGUGCCAGCAGCCGCGGUAAUACGUAGGGUGCGAGCGUUGUCCGGAAUUACUGGGCGUAAAGAGCUCGUAGGUGGUUUGUCGCGUUGUUCGUGAAAACUCACAGCUUAACUGUGGGCGUGCGGGCGAUACGGGCAGACUGGAGUACUGCAGGGGAGACUGGAAUUCCUGGUGUAGCGGUGGAAUGCGCAGAUAUCAGGAGGAACACCGGUGGCGAAGGCGGGUCUCUGGGCAGUAACUGACGCUGAGGAGCGAAAGCGUGGGGAGCGAACAGGAUUAGAUACCCUGGUAGUCCACGCCGUAAACGGUGGGUACUAGGUGUGGGUUUCCUUCCUUGGGAUCCGUGCCGUAGCUAACGCAUUAAGUACCCCGCCUGGGGAGUACGGCCGCAAGGCUAAAACUCAAAGAAAUUGACGGGGGCCCGCACAAGCGGCGGAGCAUGUGGAUUAAUUCGAUGCAACGCGAAGAACCUUACCUGGGUUUGACAUGCACAGGACGCCGGCAGAGAUGUCGGUUCCCUUGUGGCCUGUGUGCAGGUGGUGCAUGGCUGUCGUCAGCUCGUGUCGUGAGAUGUUGGGUUAAGUCCCGCAACGAGCGCAACCCUUGUCUCAUGUUGCCAGCACGUAAUGGUGGGGACUCGUGAGAGACUGCCGGGGUCAACUCGGAGGAAGGUGGGGAUGACGUCAAGUCAUCAUGCCCCUUAUGUCCAGGGCUUCACACAUGCUACAAUGGCCGGUACAAAGGGCUGCGAUGCCGUGAGGUGGAGCGAAUCCUUUCAAAGCCGGUCUCAGUUCGGAUCGGGGUCUGCAACUCGACCCCGUGAAGUCGGAGUCGCUAGUAAUCGCAGAUCAGCAACGCUGCGGUGAAUACGUUCCCGGGCCUUGUACACACCGCCCGUCACGUCAUGAAAGUCGGUAACACCCGAAGCCGGUGGCCUAACCCGUAAGGGAGGGAGCCGUCGAAGGUGGGAUCGGCGAUUGGGACGAAGUCGUAACAA
RNAcentral lists this ribosomal RNA (1465 nucleotides) under Mycolicibacterium sp. URD-33. Its description in RNAcentral is "bacterial SSU rRNA". It matches the Rfam family "Bacterial small subunit ribosomal RNA". The record is from RNAcentral. Lineage: Bacteria; Bacillati; Actinomycetota; Actinomycetes; Mycobacteriales; Mycobacteriaceae.